GAUGAACGCUGGCGGCGUGCCUAAUACAUGCAAGUCGAGCGAACGGACGAGAAGCUUGCUUUUCUGAUUUUAGCGGCGGACGGGUGAGUAACACGUGGAUAACCUACCUAUAAGACUGGGAUAACUUCGGGAAACCGGAGCUAAUACCGGAUAAUAUUUUGAACCGCAUGGUUCAAAAGUGAAAGACGGUCUUGCUGUCACUUAUAGAUGGAUCCGCGCUGCAUUAGCUAGUUGGUAAGGUAACGGCUUACCAAGGCAACGAUGCAUAGCCGACCUGAGAGGGUGAUCGGCCACACUGGAACUGAGACACGGUCCAGACUCCUACGGGAGGCAGCAGUAGGGAAUCUUCCGCAAUGGGCGAAAGCCUGACGGAGCAACGCCGCGUGAGUGAUGAAGGUCUUCGGAUCGUAAAACUCUGUUAUUAGGGAAGAACAUAUGUGUAAGUAACUGUGCACAUCUUGACGGUACCUAAUCAGAAAGCCACGGCUAACUACGUG
This 497-nucleotide ribosomal RNA is filed under the name uncultured bacterium. RNAcentral's name for it is "partial 16S ribosomal RNA". It matches the Rfam family "Bacterial small subunit ribosomal RNA", at positions 28 to 507 of the family's 1533-position model. The record is from RNAcentral.